AUGGCACAGCACGGCGCAUCUGCUGCAGUGCAGCAAGGAAUACUAGAGGUGCUGGGGUAUGUCUGCGAGGAGUUUCCUCCUGAGCACUUGGAGCAGGAUCAGGCCAUCCCUUUACUUGUUCCAAUGCUGCUCGAAACUCUGUUGAAUGAAGAGGGUUAUCAUGAGCAUGCUGACAAUGUGCGGAACAUUUCCAUGAUUGGUGCAAAGUGCCUUGGCCUCAUCGCUAGAACUGUUGGUGAUGCAAUUGUCCCUCUUGUGAUGCCAUUUGUUAAGGUUAACAUCACAAACUUGGAUUGGCAUUGUCGCGAGGCAGCUACUUUUACAUUUAGCUCUAUCCUUGAAGGUCCCUCUGUUGAGAAGCUUACCCCCCUGGUGCACGCUAGACUUGAUUUCUUGGUCAACUCAAUGAAAGAUCUAAACAACCAGGUCAUCAUCCAGAAACUGAGCAACUCUGAUGUGAUGUCCGUGAUUUCCCAGACUGCUGAUCAAUUGAUGUUUCUGUUUCCCUGUGUCUUUGCUUGCCCCAGUUCUACUGUACAUGAAAAAGCAAUACUUGCCAUUUGUCAAGUUGCUUAUGGCAUUCGUGAAGCAGGCUUGCAGAAUAAGGAAGAAUACCAAAUAUGCUCCAUUUCUGUAUGGGUGAUGGGUGAUAUUUGCCGUGCCAUUGAAGACAAAAUGCAGCCUUUCUGUGAUUGCAUUAUGACUGUUCUUUUCAAGGAUCUUGGAGACAUUGCUCUUGCUAUUGGUGAGAAUGUCGAGAAAUACCUGCAAUAUGCCAUGCCAGUGCUUCAAGGAGCUGCUGAGCUCGUUGUUUUGGAUCAAAGCAACGAAGAUACGAUUGUUCACCAUAACCAGCUGAGACAUGGAAUAUUUGAGGCUUACUCCGGUAUACUGCAUGACAAAUCUAAGACAAGAAUUUUGGGACGGAGGGAGUAUUUAUUUGUCAGGGAUGAGAGUGUGACAAAGGCUGCGGUUGCGGCCCUGAGUGAUCUCGCAGACAUACUUGGUCUGAUAUCCUGA
RNAcentral lists this ribosomal RNA (1020 nucleotides) under Triticum aestivum (bread wheat). RNAcentral's name for it is "partial small subunit ribosomal RNA". Lineage: Eukaryota; Viridiplantae; Streptophyta; Magnoliopsida; Poales; Poaceae. The record is from RNAcentral.